RNAcentral lists this unclassified non-coding RNA (279 nucleotides) under plant metagenome. RNAcentral describes it as "partial contains small subunit ribosomal RNA, internal transcribed spacer 1, and 5.8S ribosomal RNA". The record is from RNAcentral.
UUUCCGUAGGUGAACCUGCGGAAGGAUCAUUACUGUGUAACCGCCCUACGGGGUAUGUCGCCCACCCUAUGGGACUAUCACUCCCGUGUUUUGUCGCACCCAUCCAUCUCGCCCCGAUUUGCACCACCGCGUGGGUCCCGCUUGCCCUUGGUCCCAAGGGCCCUUACGUUUUCAUCCACUCAUUACCUUCAGAGAGGUAUGACUUUUUUUAUUUGGCGAUCUCGUUAUCGCUACAAUUUUCAACAACGGAUCUCUGGACUCUCGCAUCGUUGACGAACG